RNAcentral lists this ribosomal RNA (279 nucleotides) under uncultured bacterium. Its description in RNAcentral is "partial 16S ribosomal RNA". It matches the Rfam family "Bacterial small subunit ribosomal RNA", at positions 506 to 784 of the family's 1533-position model. The record is from RNAcentral.
UGCCAGCCGCCGCGGUAACACGAACCGGACAAACGUUAUUCGGAAUUACUGGGCUUAAAGAGUACGUAGGCGGCCAAGUAGGUGGGGUGUGAAAGCCCACGGCUCAACCGUGGAAUUGCGCUCCAAACCACUUGGCUUGAGGGAGACAGGGGUAUGCGGAACUGAUGGUGGAGCGGUGAAAUGCGUUGAUAUCAUCAGGAACACCAGUGGCGAAGGCGGCAUACUGGGUCUCUUCUGACGCUGAGGUACGAAAGCUAGGGUAGCGAACAGGAUUAGAUA